UAAAGUGGUUUCCUGUCGAUGCUCCACUUCGCUCGUGGAGAUUGCGAAAGUGCAAUGACAGCUGAAAGGGAAGGUGUCGACACAUAACCGGUUCACAGGGUCGGGUUCCUCUGGUCAGUCCAGACAACUGGCCUUCGGUUGCAGUCUUGGAGUAAGUUGAGGCUGCAGUGUCAGUGACCUGAAUCUCUAUCUCUCUCCCUCUUUCUUAUCUGCUAUGUUGCCGCCUACUCUUCUUGCACUUGUUCACAGUGUGGGGGAAGAAAGGUGUUUCACAGUACAAGCUGCGGUUUGCAAGUCUGCAGUUUGUUAAGCUUCACCACCCCAUCUUUAUCUGUCUGUCUUAUUUUUAUUCCAUGUUGUCCUCUUUGCAGAUAAGAGAAGAUGCAGCAUGACUACUAAGAAAUCGUUGUUAUAUAUUUUAGAAAUCUGUUAUGUAAUUCAGGGGCAAAUGCAUUACACCGCUGUUUAUCAGAAAACCUGCAUAUUGUUCAUUAAACACCCACAAGCCAGUUUAACCAGGUGCUAAAAGUGCCAAACUAGCACAGUGCCAGAAGUAUUCAUGUAUUGGAUUUACUAUAUACGCCAUUUUGCCAUUGUCCUUUGACUCAUAUGUGUUGAAUCAAGUCUGUGCAACAGGCACUUAAACUUCAAAAGAGCCACAGUUUCAGCCUUUUCAUGUUUAAACUUUUCAAAUCUAAUGGCUCUGCAGCUCCCAUGGCAUUAUGGGAUAGAAAAUUGUCCAGAUUUUGCUCACAACUGAAUUUCAGCAGAUGCAGUAUUUUGUUCAGGCUUGUGACGAUGUUCAGUUCAAUUGGCUGUGCUGCUCUGAACACAUCUGAGCUGGUUUCUUCAUCCACACAUCUGGCCAAUGUACAAGCGUCCUGGACUGAAUGUGAGAACACCAGGCUGCUGCCUUUCCCAGCCUCCCGGCCCUGGAGAGCGGCGUGGACACUCCUAAUGUGGGAAUAUCCAGGAGGGGACACAGGACACAAUCCAAGCCAACCGGUUAAUGUUCUUGUUGACGUCACUGAAGUGGAACGAGUUAAAGGACGUUCCCGACUGACUCCUCCGAAGCUGUGAUCUGCCGUGCCAGAUGCUAAUUCCACCAUAGUGUGAGUCAGUUCACGUAAACGCACUCAUGGAAGGAAAGAAUGAGGGAUCUGUCAUGUGAUGCGACCACAUUAAGCCUGAAGCACAUGUAUUUCUGAGAGAAUACAGUAUAUUUAAUUCAAAAGUUCAACUUUUAUCAAGUUUUCUGUUAGCCCACUGUAAAAAUCUAGACAUAAUAGAACCCUCUCCACCGAAUGAUGCAAGAUCUCACACAGACCAUACAUCAUCACGCCAUUUCUGUCAGUUUCUAACAGCCUAUGAACUUAUCUGUCAUCUUUAAACUAAAAUACAGGAUCUUUACAGGAGUUUAAAUGAUCACACUCCUUUAAAUGAGAGCGCUGUCUGAUGACUUGUAAUCUUGUCUUCUGCGAUCUGAUUUGGAGUAAGAUCAUGGUGCUUUUAACUUGACCGAGAAUCUGAUGAGUGCAAAGCAUGUUCAGAUGAUUCAUUAUGGAAAAUGUCAAAGCGGCUAGUACUAUUUGUCCUCCCUCGUCUCUUUAUCUUGCUCUGCUCAUGCCAUACUUGUUCAAGAGUCUGACAGGGCUGAUUUUUUUUGGUACUAGUCACUAUUUUUGUGUGCAUUUCUUUUCUAUAAAUAGCCAGAUGUGGGCAGCUUAGGUGGAGACCAUGAUGUGAGCGAUGAGAACAUAAAUGUCAGCUCUCACCACUGUUCACUGCCCACCGCGACACAGACUGGCAGUUUAGACCGCUGCCGUGCAUUGUGAGCAUUCACUUUUGAAAAGUCAGCAGCAGUGUAACCAUACAAUAGAUUUUCUAUUUCCUUAUAAGUUCCUAACCAACAGUUUAUCUUAUGUAAUAAAUUUGUAAAUGUAUCUUACUUUAUGUGUUUA
Cyprinus carpio (common carp) is the source of this 1961-nucleotide long non-coding RNA. The record is from Ensembl. Lineage: Eukaryota; Metazoa; Chordata; Actinopteri; Cypriniformes; Cyprinidae.